GACGAACGCUGGCGGCGUGCCUAAUACAUGCAAGUAGAACGCUGAAGCGAGGAGCUUGCUCUUCUUGGAUGAGUUGCGAACGGGUGAGUAACGCGUAGGCAACCUGCCUUGUAGCGGGGGAUAACUAUUGGAAACGAUAGCUAAUACCGCAUAACAAUGGAUGACACAUGUCAUUUAUUUGAAAGGGGCAAUUGCUCCACUACAAGAUGGACCUGCGUUGUAUUAGCUAGUAGGUGAGGUAAUGGCUCACCUAGGCGACGAUACAUAGCCGACCUGAGAGGGUGAUCGGCCACACUGGGACUGAGACACGGCCCAGACUCCUACGGGAGGCAGCAGUAGGGAAUCUUCGGCAAUGGGGGCAACCCUGACCGAGCAACGCCGCGUGAGUGAAGAAGGUUUUCGGAUCGUAAAGCUCUGUUGUAAGUCAAGAACGGGUGUGAGAGUGGAAAGUUCACACUGUGACGGUAGCUGACCAGAAAGGGACGGCUAACUACGUG
RNAcentral lists this ribosomal RNA (497 nucleotides) under uncultured bacterium. RNAcentral's name for it is "partial 16S ribosomal RNA". It matches the Rfam family "Bacterial small subunit ribosomal RNA", at positions 28 to 507 of the family's 1533-position model. The record is from RNAcentral.